GACGAACGCUGGCGGCGUGCCUAAUACAUGCAAGUCGAGCGGACUGAUUAAGAGCUUGCUCUUAUGACGUUAGCGGCGGACGGGUGAGUAACACGUGGGCAACCUGCCCUGUAGAUCGGGAUAACACCGAGAAAUCGGUGCUAAUACCGGGUAAUAUCUGAGAUCACAUGAUCUUAGGUUAAAAGAUGGCUCCGGCUAUCACUACAGGAUGGGCCCGCGGCGCAUUAGCUAGUUGGUAAGGUAAUGGCUUACCAAGGCGACGAUGCGUAGCCGACCUGAGAGGGUGAUCGGCCACACUGGGACUGAGGCACGGCCCAGACUCCUACGGGAGGCAGCAGUAGGGAAUCUUCCGCAAUGGACGAAAGUCUGACGGAGCAACGCCGCGUGAGUGAUGAAGGGUUUCGGCUCGUAAAGCUCUGUUGUUAGGGAAGAAACAGUACCGAACGAACUAGGUCGGUACCUUGACGGUACCUAACCAGAAAGCCACGGCUAACUACGUG
RNAcentral lists this ribosomal RNA (500 nucleotides) under uncultured bacterium. RNAcentral's name for it is "partial 16S ribosomal RNA". It matches the Rfam family "Bacterial small subunit ribosomal RNA", at positions 28 to 507 of the family's 1533-position model. The record is from RNAcentral.